Zea mays is the source of this 1695-nucleotide RNA transcript. It is a transcript of the gene named branched-chain-amino-acid aminotransferase, with no coding region annotated. NCBI's taxonomy places the organism in Eukaryota, Viridiplantae, Streptophyta, Magnoliopsida, Poales, Poaceae. The record is from RefSeq and is marked validated. The transcript is spliced from 9 exons.
GCAAUCGACAAGCAGCCCCACCAAACCAGGAAACUGCAAACCUACCCCCGGUCGCCGACUCGCCGACCUCGACUCUCCGCCCAGACUACAAAUGGAGCUCUGCACCUGCGCGGCCCGCAGUUCUGCGCCCCCCUCUUCUAGCUGCCGCGCGGCGCCAUUCCCGCGAGUUCUCUCCCAUCGCAUUUGGAGCCGAUCGGGAUACUGCACUGUCUGCUUUACCCCGUCAAGCCCUGUUGCUAGGAGUCGAUUCUCUACUCUAAUGACGACUGCACACAAGUAUGAUGCGACAAGUCUGUAUAACUGACCCUCUGUUUUGCUUUGGGAAUUGGGACGAUGCACCGCCGCUAAGAUUAACUAGCAAAAAGGCACAGGGACCCCAGAUCUAGUUGACUUCAAUUGGGAUGAUCUUGGGUUUCAACUGAUCCCAACGGACUUCAUGUAUUUAAUGAGCUGUUCUUCAGAUGGGGUGUUUAUGAAUGGUAAAUUAGUGCCAUAUGGGUCAAUUGAGCUGAAUCCAGCAGCCGCCGUGCUGAAUUAUGGUCAGGGAUUGCUUGAAGGUCUACGAUCACAUAGAAAAGAGGAUGGAUCAAUCCUUCUUUUUCGUCCACAUGAAAAUGCACGGCGGAUGGAAAUUGGUGCAGACCGGUUAUGCAUGCCUGCACCAAGUGUAGAGCAAUUCCUAGAAGCUGUGAAACUAACUGUUCUGGCAAACAAGCAUUGGGUGAGGGCGUUGCACACCUCUUGUUGAAUAUGUGAUGCAUCUCUCAUGUCUCACCCACCAUGUUCUGCAUUACAGGUGCCUCCUUUUGGUAAAGGUUCUUUGUAUAUCAGACCGCAGCUAAUUGGAAGUGGGGCUAUGCUUGGUGUGGCACCUGCCCCACAGUACACAUUCAUUGUGUUUGUUUGCCCAGUUGGGCAUUAUUUCAAGGGUGGUCUAGCUCCAAUCAGCUUGUUAACUGAGGAAGAAUACCACCGUGCUGCACCUGGUGGAACUGGUGAUAUAAAAACUAUUGGGAACUAUGCUUCGGUAAUGCGCAAAUGUGAAUUUUCAAAGUUGUCAGUGCUCAGAGAAGAUCCAAGGAAAAAGGCCAUUCUGAUGUUUUAUACUUAGAUCCACUCCAUAAUAAGUUUGUUGAGGAAGUUUCUUCUUGUAAUAUAUUCAUGGUGAAGGACAAUAUUAUUUCUACUCCACUGUUAACGGGGACAAUUCUUCCUGGAAUCACAAGGAGAAGUGUGAUUGAAAUUUCUCAGAAUCUUGGAUUUCAGGUUGAGGAGCGUCUUAUCACAAUAGAUGAACUGCUUGGGGCUGAUGAAGUCUUUUGUACAGGAACAGCUGUUGUAUUGUCACCUGUUGGGAGCAUCACUUACCGUGGAAGAAGAGUGGAGUAUGGGAAGAACCAGGAGGCCGGAGUCGUGUCCCAACAACUCUAUGCCGCACUCACAGCUAUCCAGAAAGGUCUCACGGAGGACAGCAUGGGAUGGACGUUGCAGCUAACUUAGCAGCUUUUUUCACAUGAUCGAGCUCUACAACUCUUAUUUCCGUUUUCUCGAUAAGUCUCACUUCUAUCAACUUGUUCUUCUGUUGAAACAGAGUACUUUAAAAGGGAUCCCCAAUAAUGACUUUCCCUGUGUAUUGCUGAUAUGUUGGCACUAGAUAUUUUUGGAAACUCUAUUUAAAGCACAGUGUUUUGCACC